UGGGCGUGCAAACGAGAGAAGGAACCAAGGGAACCAAAACCCUAAACAACCUAAAAUCAUCAAAUUGAAAGGGGAAUCGAGGGCUGAUCGAAUGCAUGAGUCUAGAUACCCUUUAAUCUAAGUGUAUUGAUCAUAAGGAACGUGUCAAGGAGAGCUCAAGCAUAGGAGGAUAACGGGUCAAGAUAAGGCAAGGUGACAAAUACACUUAUUGGAAUACUCAAGGUAAGUGAUUUCUAUAAUCACUUCUUUAGUUGUUUAAGUAAUAUAAUGUUUUAAUUAUUAAGUUCAUAUGAAGUUGAGGUUAAAUCAAUGGAUUAUUUUGAUAAAUGCACGAAUGGGUCGAAUAAUUCAUAGAUGAAUAACAAGCCGAAUACGUAUAAGUUAAGGAAUUCCUUAACUCGGAUGUUGGACUUCAAGAUCACGUGAUAGAAUAUUAAAUUACAAUCAUAUAGGAAGAAACGUGACGCAAAACGGACGAAAAAUGAGAGAGUUAUGUCCGUUUCAGUAAGGAUUAAUGGCUAGGAAAAGUGCAGAGUUGACACGGCCGGGUGGUGAACUGACACGGCCGGGUGAAGGUUCUGUCAAAAAUAUUAUUUAUGUGAUUUAUGCGCCGUAGGCUUCGGUAUAUUAUCCGUGAACUACGACGGGCCUCCCAAACAUGAUUUCGAGUGUUUCCUUGACGAUUAUAAGUUGUAAACCCAAGUCUAAGCCUCAUGUAAUUUAUAUAAGAGUGUGAUAGAUGUAUGUAAUGAAGUUGGACAUGUAUUACAUGUAAAUGUAUACAAAAAUACGUACGGAACACGUAGGUAUGAAUACAUGAUUGUAGGUAUGAUUAAAUGUAUAUUAGGUAUGUAGAUGUGUAUGAUUGUAAGUUUGUAUGUGUGCAAGUAUGUGCGAAUGCAUGAUUCGGAUGCAUUUGAGAAUUAGCGUUACUAAUAAUGCCCUUGGGUUUGGAAUAUAAGUUGAUUGGAUGCAUUUAAAUGGUUAACGUCCUUUUUAUGAAGAUGUAGUAAAUGAAUAUGUUGAGAUUACGGGUUUGGCUAACCAAGUUAUUAUUGAGUAUGUUUGAAAGUGCAGGUGAUGAAUGUCGGACUUUCGAAGUGUUGAUAUAAUAAUGAAACGGUUGAAUGUUGAAAGGAUAAUCGGACUGAAGUAACUUAUGCGGUAAAUCCUCAAUUUUGGCGACUUGGAGAAUCGGAGCGAGCGCGUGUUCGUGUUAUGCGAUACCAAACGCUUCCGCUAGUUUGUUCAAAUGUUUUUGACCCAAAAUUUGUUGUAUUGGUUUUUAGUAGUAUCUUGUUGAACGAAUUGUAGAAUUGUAUCUAGUUUGUUUAUGUUUAAAACAGGGGUAUGCUCGUUUUAUGGACGGGUCAUGCCCGAUUUUUUUGUUAAAUUAUAGUUUGAUAAUAUCACAUUUAUGAAGGCGAAAUUUUGGG
This 1436-nucleotide long non-coding RNA is filed under the name Helianthus annuus (common sunflower). Its description in RNAcentral is "hypothetical non coding rna". Lineage: Eukaryota; Viridiplantae; Streptophyta; Magnoliopsida; Asterales; Asteraceae. The record is from RNAcentral.